GGCGCCCAACCCAAGUUCUCUCCACUCCCUGUUGCUGUGCCAUAGACCAGAUCACAUCUGUCUCUUACCCGAAGAUGCUCAAAUUGUCCACCGUAUGCAGGCCAAAACGCAAGUAUAAUACAGUACUCUUAUUUAGUUUAACAAUAUGGUAUAGUGGUUAGGGUUAAGGUUAGAUAACACUCCUAGGUGGUUAAGGUUAGGGUUAUGGUUAGAUAACACUCCUAGGUGGUUAAGGUUAGGGUUAUGGUUAGAUAACACUCCUAGGUGGUUAAGGUUAGGGUUAUGGUUAGAUAACACUCCUGAGUGGUUAAGGUUAGGGUUAAGGUUAGAUAACACUCCUAAGUGGUUAAGGAUGGGGGUUUAGUUUAGAUGACACUCCAGUGUAUUAAAGGUUAGGGUUAAGGUUGGAAAACACUACUGUGUGGUUAAGGAAAACUAUACUUCAUUUCAAUCUACAUCUUAAAAAGCUACACUUUGCAUACUUUUUGUUUUAACAUCAAACAUUUGAUCUCUUGGGUCUCAUGAAAGUAGCGUAUGUUUCUAAGAGACUAUUCUACCCCUUGGACAGUUUCAGGCCAGGUCCAUCCUGGAACUGUGGCCAUCUUUGAGGGUCAGUAGUGACACCCUCCCUUCUCACCACAAGGCUAGACAGGUUACAGGUUCCCUCAGGAACUUAGGCUUUCUCUGCUCCAUCUUCAAUCUAUAGCCAGACAGUUUUUGGAACACCCUCUCCAGAUGCUUUGAGUGGGUUCUGAAAUCAGGGAGGUACACAAUGAAACGAAGUGAAUCAUGUAUCCAGUCAGAGGCAUUUCCAAAGCAGUCUUCGUGGGCCAUACAAACACUUGCCCAGCAGUCCAGUAAAGCAUUUAUAGCAGCUCCUGUUGUUUGAUUAAAUUAAUUCCUUCCCUCGGAGGACUGCCUUCUGUGGGUUUCAACGUCACCAGUGUCAUUCUGCAACCAGCGUUCACCAAAACACUCAUCACUAGCCAGUAUACAGCCACUAACCUUACAAGACAGAGGGGCUCCUAAAACAAUGAACACUUUAGACUGACACUUUUAGACCGACUGCUUACGUUUACAGUUUUCUUUCUUUGAGCUUCACAUCCGGCAUCGUCCACGAUAUGGGUGUCCAUAAUUAGGGAAAGAAAAUAAAAUUGAAAAAGAAAUAAAAGUUACAAGGAAGUUGGUUUGAUGCAAACCUGUAGUGCAUCAAAAAAUGAAACACUAUUUCAGGAGAACACAAGAAUGUUUAUUAAGCUUCUAUUUCCAAAUACAACACAGCCUGGUGGAAAUGAAUAGGCACAAUACAAGCAGAUGAUUCCUCCUGCUGAGCUGUGUGUCUGUACUGUAUUACUGUACCAAAUAUAGGACUUCCAGCCCCUCAUCUGCCCCUCCCAACUGAGGAGAACUUGUUUCAAAUGCUUUGGGUCACAAUUACCCACUUUCUGUGGGCGUGUAUCACAAUGAUUCAGGCUGUCUCGGCUGUCAAUAUAUUUCCCCCCCGGUCAGUAAAACAAAGCUAUCAGGCGUCUUCACAGAACAUUCCAAAUAUGGCAAACUUGGCAGCAAGGAGUGAGUCAUCACACACACACACACACACACACACACCUAAGCAAACACAUCCAGACCAUAUUAUCUAGCAGCCACGCCCAUCCCAGCAGAAUCAGAUCUCCAUCUUGUAGCCACUACACCAGAUGUCCUCUCUUUAAAGACAAGGGUGGCAGGGUAAGGCCAGUGGUUUGAGUAUCUGAUUCAAUCCCAGAGUCCCCGAUAAUGUAGUGAAUUUUACCCUCCUAUUGUAUUCAUGUUAAAGUUGAACUUUAAAUUUUAAGUUUAGAUGUGUGAAACAUACCUUUAAUGUUUUCUGAUUUAAAAAAAAGGCCUUGUUAAAUCCUCAUCAAUGGCCUACAGAAUACAAUAAAACACAUUUAGAUUUUUUUUUAACUGCCUAAGGAACAGUUACAUCCUUGGGGUUACGGGUCAAAUUUGACCCGGUAGUAAUUAUGGGGUUUUAAUUCAGAGAAAUACAUAAAUACAUUUUGCCAAACCAUGAAUAACAACAAUUACAACAAAACAAAAA
Esox lucius (northern pike) is the source of this 2080-nucleotide long non-coding RNA. The record is from Ensembl. NCBI's taxonomy places the organism in Eukaryota, Metazoa, Chordata, Actinopteri, Esociformes, Esocidae.